Molecule: ribosomal RNA, 252 nt
Filed under: uncultured bacterium
Lineage: Bacteria
Description: partial 16S ribosomal RNA
Rfam family: Bacterial small subunit ribosomal RNA
Source: RNAcentral
UACGGAGGAUGCGAGCGUUAUCCGGAUUUAUUGGGUUUAAAGGGUGCGUAGGCGGGCUUUUAAGUCAGCGGUAAAAAUUCGGGGCUCAACCCCGUCCGGCCGUUGAAACUGGGGGCCUUGAGUGGGUGAGAAGAAGGCGGAAUGCGUGGUGUAGCGGUGAAAUGCAUAGAUAUCACGCAGAACCCCGAUUGCGAAGGCAGCCUUCCGGCGCCCUACUGACGCUGAGGCACGAAAGUGCGGGGAUCGAACAGG